RNAcentral lists this ribosomal RNA (496 nucleotides) under uncultured bacterium. RNAcentral's name for it is "partial 16S ribosomal RNA". It matches the Rfam family "Bacterial small subunit ribosomal RNA", at positions 28 to 506 of the family's 1533-position model. The record is from RNAcentral.
GACGAACGCUGGCGGCGUGCCUAAUACAUGCAAGUUGAGCGCUGAAGGUUGGUACUUGUCCCAACUGGAUGAGCAGCGCACGGGUGAGUAACGCGUGGGGAAUCUGCCUUUGAGCGGGGGACAACAUUUGGAAACGAAUGCUAAUACCGCAUAAAAACUUUAAACACAAGUUUUAAGUUUGAAAGAUGCAAUUGCAUCACUCAAAGAUGAUCCCGCGUUGUAUUAGCUAGUUGGUGAGGUAAAGGCUCACCAAGGCGAUGAUACAUAGCCGACCUGAGAGGGGGAUCGGCCACAUUGGGACUGAGACACGGCCCAAACUCCUACGGGAGGCAGCAGUAGGGAAUCUUCGGCAAUGGACGAAAGUCUGACCGAGCAACGCCGCGUGAGUGAAGAAGGUGUUCGGAUCGUAAAACUCUGUUGGUAGAGAAGAACGUUGGUGAGAGUGGAAAGCGCAUCAAGUGACGGUAACUACCCAGAAAGGGACGGCUAACUACGU